Acanthochromis polyacanthus (spiny chromis) is the source of this 441-nucleotide long non-coding RNA. RefSeq lists it as uncharacterized. The transcript has 4 exons. NCBI's taxonomy places the organism in Eukaryota, Metazoa, Chordata, Actinopteri, Pomacentridae. The record is from RefSeq and is a predicted model, not a curated record.
CGCCAGGCCCAGCCGCCAUUGUCGCCGCGGCUACCCGUUUCAGUUUCCCCGCUUCGAGUUCCCCGCUUCCCCUCCUGGGCUUCCGUACUGUCCGUACAGCCAGAACCGCGGCCAGGUGACCAUCGGCGUUUUCCUUGUUGCAGAUGCAGCCUUAUACACAUAACUUCAUCCUGGCCUCAUCAGUGAAAACCUGAGCUUCUCCUGUCAGUGGCAUCGUGAGGGAGAAAAAAAGAAGAAAGCGUUUCUUGGACUGACUUGCAUCUUGGUUAAUGGCCAGUCAGAACUUCAGACGAGACACACAGAAAGAGACACAACUGCAGAGAUUUUUCCCGAUCGGAUUGUGAAAGAACAUUUGCAGCAGCCCUGAUUCCACAAUUUCUCUCAUUUGCACCCUCUCUGAGCUUUUUGCACUUUGCAGAAUAAAAUCCAAAUGAAUGGUGA